GCCACCAUAGCUCAGCGGUAGAGCAGCUCACUUGUAAUGAGCAGGUCGUCGGUUCAAGUCCGACUGGUGGCU
This 72-nucleotide transfer RNA is filed under the name Candidatus Kaiserbacteria bacterium RIFCSPLOWO2_01_FULL_54_13. Its description in RNAcentral is "tRNA-Thr". It matches the Rfam family "tRNA". From Rfam's summary of the family: Transfer RNA (tRNA) molecules are approximately 80 nucleotides in length. Their secondary structure includes four short double-helical elements and three loops (D, anti-codon, and T loops). Lineage: Bacteria; Candidatus Kaiseribacteriota. The record is from RNAcentral.